GCACAGGUAGCCAAGCGGUAAGGCGACUGGUUGCAACCCAGUUAUCGUCGGUUCAAAUCCGGCUCUGUGCU
This 71-nucleotide transfer RNA is filed under the name bacterium. RNAcentral describes it as "tRNA-Cys". It matches the Rfam family "tRNA". Rfam says of the family: Transfer RNA (tRNA) molecules are approximately 80 nucleotides in length. Their secondary structure includes four short double-helical elements and three loops (D, anti-codon, and T loops). The record is from RNAcentral.